UGAUGGCUGUUCCUCUCCCUGCCUGGAGCCUUUGGCAGUGGGAUUUUGGUCCAUCAUAUAUCAAAGCUGGCUUAUCUUCACUCAGGGCACUAUGAGGAUAGGUUGGCUGUCCAUUAGUGCCUUCUGAUUUUUGCGGAGUCAAACAAUU
Molecule: small nucleolar RNA, 148 nt
Organism: Ictidomys tridecemlineatus (thirteen-lined ground squirrel)
Lineage: Eukaryota; Metazoa; Chordata; Mammalia; Rodentia; Sciuridae
Source: Ensembl